UCAAAAACAUGGCUCCUUGUAAUAUAUAAAUAAGGAGUCGGACCUGCCCAGUGAAUUUUUUCAACGGCCGCGGUACUCUGACCGUGCAAAGGUAGCAUAAUCAUUUGCCUUAUAAUUGAAGGCUUGUAUGAAUGGUUUGACAAGAAUAUAGCUGUCUCUUUAUAAUUAAAUAGAAUUUUAUUUAUAGGUGAAGAAGCCUAUAUAAUAUUGAAAGACAAGAAGACCCUAUCGAGCUUGAAAGAAAUUAAUAAACUCUGCAUAUUUAAUAUAAUUUAGAAAAUUAGUUAUUAAAAAUUUUGGUUGGGGCGACUAAGGAACAAAUAAAGCUUCCUUUAUUUUGGUAAUACAAACAAGUGACGAUCCAAAAACUUUGAUUAAAGGAAUUAGUUACCGUAGGGAUAACAGCAUUAUCUUUUUUGAGAGUUCUAAUCGAAAAAAAGGUUUGUGACCUCGAUGUUGGACCAGAAUAUCCUAAAGAUGCAGCCGUCUUUAAGGGUUGGUCUGUUCGACCAUUAAAAUUCUACGUGAUCUGAGUUCAGACCGGCGUGAGCCAGGUCAGUUUCUAUCUUCAAUUUUUAAAAUAAGUUUAGUACGAAAGGACCAAUUUAUUGCAAUAUAUUUGUUUCAUUUAGAUCAAAUAUAAAGAAAAAUUAAAUUAAUUAUCAAAUUAGCAAAGAUAAUGCAAUUGACUUAGGAUCAAUAGACAUAGGUGAAAUCCCUUUAUUUGAUAAAGUAUAAAGAUGGCAGAUCAAGUGCAUUAGGUUUAGCCC
Molecule: ribosomal RNA, 770 nt
Filed under: Zeatrophon pulcherrimus
Lineage: Eukaryota; Metazoa; Mollusca; Gastropoda; Neogastropoda; Muricidae
Description: partial 16S ribosomal RNA
Rfam family: Bacterial large subunit ribosomal RNA (bases 1-594)
Source: RNAcentral